CAGCAGCCGCGGUAAUACCGAGGGUGCAAGCGUUAAUCGGAUUUACUGGGCGUAAAGGGCGCGUAGGUGGUUAUUUAAGUGAGAUGUGAAAGCCCCGGGCUUAACCUGGGAACUGCAUCUUAUACUGGGUAACUGGAGUGCAGUAGAGGGUAGUGGAAUUUCCGGUGUAGCGGUGAAAUGCGUAGAUAUCGGAAGGAACACCAGUGGCGAAGGCGGCUACCUGGACUGAGACUGACACUGAGGCGCGAGAGCGUGGGGAGCAAACAGGAUUAGAUACCCCGGUAGUCCCUGUCUCUUAUAC
Molecule: ribosomal RNA, 301 nt
Filed under: uncultured bacterium
Lineage: Bacteria
Description: partial 16S ribosomal RNA
Rfam family: Bacterial small subunit ribosomal RNA
Source: RNAcentral